Molecule: small nuclear RNA, 107 nt
Organism: Trichechus manatus latirostris (Florida manatee)
Lineage: Eukaryota; Metazoa; Chordata; Mammalia; Sirenia; Trichechidae
Source: RefSeq, a predicted model, not a curated record
GUGCUCACUUCAUCAGCAUAUAUACUAAAAUUGGAACAAUACUGAGAAGAUAAGCAUGGCCCCUGUGCAAGGAUGGCAUGAAAAUUCAUGACGUUUUCCAUAUUUUU